CAGCUAUUCGAUGCAGAUUUCUUCAUCUGACUAUUGCAAACGGUAAUUGGUGAAGUAAAAUUGUCACCGUAGCGAUGGCGCCACAGUGGUAGAUGUUUCACACUUUAUAAUAAAUGUUUGUCAGUUACUGUGAGUGUCAAAACUUUUUCGGGAUGUCAAGACAAGAGCUGAAAGAAGCGAAAAAAAGAAAACAAUGGGAUGAAAAAGAUAUGGAACGUGCGAUAAUAGCUGUCAGGCAGCAUGAAAUGGGUACGCUAAAAGUGUUCAGUAAUAACCGCUUCACCGUACAAAAAUGAAUUGAUCCAGUCGCUCAACAAAGUCAAAGGGAAACAAAAAGGUACAGAAGAAGACAAAGAAAACAGAAAAGGAA
Photinus pyralis (common eastern firefly) is the source of this 370-nucleotide long non-coding RNA. RefSeq lists it as uncharacterized. Lineage: Eukaryota; Metazoa; Arthropoda; Insecta; Coleoptera; Lampyridae. The record is from RefSeq and is a predicted model, not a curated record. The transcript is spliced from 2 exons.